RNAcentral lists this ribosomal RNA (497 nucleotides) under uncultured bacterium. RNAcentral describes it as "partial 16S ribosomal RNA". It matches the Rfam family "Bacterial small subunit ribosomal RNA", at positions 28 to 507 of the family's 1533-position model. The record is from RNAcentral.
GAUGAACGCUGGCGGCGUGCCUAAUACAUGCAAGUCGAGCGAACGGACGAGAAGCUUGCUUCUCUGAUGUUAGCGGCGGACGGGUGAGUAACACGUGGAUAACCUACCUAUAAGACUGGGAUAACUUCGGGAAACCGUAGCUAAUACCGGAUAAUAUUUUGAACCGCAUGGUUCAAAAGUGAAAGACGGUCUUGCGGUCACUUAUAGAUGGAUCCGCGCUGCAUUAGCUAGUUGGUAAGGUAACGGCUUACCAAGGCAACGAUGCAUAGCCGACCUGAGAGGGUGAUCGGCCACCCUGGAACUGAGCCACGGUCCAGACUCCUACGGGAGGCAGCAGUAGGGAAUCUUCCGCAAUGGGCGAAAGCCUGACGGAGCAACGCCGCGUGAGUGAUGACGGUCUUCGGAUCGUAAAACUCUGUUAUUAGGGAAGAACAUAUGUGUAAGUAACUGUGCACAUCUUGACGGUACCUAAUCAGAAAGCCACGGCUAACUACGUG